AUUGAACGCUGGCGGAAUGCUUUACACAUGCAAGUCGAACGGUAGAGGGGGCAACCCCUCGAGAGUGGCGAACGGGUGAGUAAUAUAUCGGAACGUGCCCAGUCGUGGGGGAUAACGUAGCGAAAGUUACGCUAAUACCGCAUACGAUCUAAGGAUGAAAGCGGGGGAUCGCAAGACCUCGCGCGAUUGGAGCGGCCGAUAUAAGAUUAGGUAGUUGGUGGGGUAAAGGCUCACCAAGCAAACGAUCUGUAGCUGGUCUUGGGGGACGACCAGCCACACGGGAACUGAGAAACGGUCAAAACUCUAACGGGGGGAGGCGGUGGGGAAUUUUGAACAUGGGACGCAAGUCUGAUCCAGCCAUUCCGGGUGAAGAAUGAAGGCCCUCGGGUGGUAAACUGCUUUUGUACGGACCGAAAAGGUCUCUCUAAAUCCGGGGGGCUAAGGACGGUACCGUAGAAUAAGCACCGGCUAACUACGUGCCAGCCGCCGCGGUAA
This 495-nucleotide ribosomal RNA is filed under the name uncultured bacterium. RNAcentral's name for it is "partial 16S ribosomal RNA". It matches the Rfam family "Bacterial small subunit ribosomal RNA", at positions 29 to 523 of the family's 1533-position model. The record is from RNAcentral.